GGCUGCAGCCGUUCCGAACCUUGCCCGUUUUAACAUCUCUUGAGCUCAGCUAGAGAAGACGGCCCCUUCCCCGAACUCCUGCUCAGGCCCCAUACCCCUGCCCAAGCAGCUAUGGUUUAAAAGCCUCAUGAGUCAUGGAGGGACUCACCCUCGUCGGCUGUGUGCCCCUGUCCAGCAACAUCAGACUCCAGGGCUCCCUCCCCGCAGCCUGGUUUUUCAGGAAACCCCUGGUGCCAGGGGGCUUUCAGAGCCCUCCUCGCCGGGGACCAUGGCUCCUGCUUCAAUACCUGGGGAGGGAGAUCCCCCAGCUUCCCUAAUGCUCUGGCCCCUUUUGUUCCAGCCAGGCACCAAGAGAAAAAUGCAGCUUCCUCCUGGAAACAAGGGCUCCCUCCCGCAGGCUUUCCCGAGGCCGGGUUCAAAAGGCCCAUGUUCACCUGAGUUUUAGGAUCUGCCAAAACCCAAAAGUCACCAUCUAAAAACAACUCCAAAGAAAGAUACGUAUCACCCCCGUUUUACAGAUGAAGAAACUGAGACUCGAGAUCACACCGCUGUUACGUGUGGGGAGACGAUUUUCCACGGGUCUCUCACAUUUUUCUGUAUAUCUUGUGAGCCAAGAUGCCGACCGCCUUUGCUCUGAUCUUUAUAAAGAUGUUUGCCCGGUGAA
Long non-coding RNA from Felis catus (domestic cat), 664 nucleotides. RefSeq lists it as uncharacterized. The transcript has 3 exons. The record is from RefSeq and is a predicted model, not a curated record. NCBI's taxonomy places the organism in Eukaryota, Metazoa, Chordata, Mammalia, Carnivora, Felidae.